AGGACGAACGCUGGCGGCGUGCUUAACACAUGCAAGUCGAGCGGAAAGGCCUUUCGGGGUACUCGAGCGGCGAACGGGUGAGUAACACGUGAGUAAUCUGCCCAUCGCUUCAGGAUAGCCAUCGGAAACGGUGAUUAAUACUGGAUAUGACAUUCCUUCGCAUGUUGGGGUGUGGUAAAGUUUUUUCGGCGGUGGAUGUGCUCGCGGCCUAUCAGCUUGGUUGGUGGGUAAUGGCCUACCAAGGUCUUUGACGGGUAGCCGGCUGAGAGGGUGACCGGCCACGACUGGGACUGAGACACGGCCCAGACUCCUACGGGAGCAGCAGGUAGGGAAUAGUUAGGACAAGUGGGACGGAAGCCGUGGAUCCGAGCGAACGGCCGCGGU
This 384-nucleotide ribosomal RNA is filed under the name uncultured soil bacterium. RNAcentral's name for it is "bacterial SSU rRNA". It matches the Rfam family "Bacterial small subunit ribosomal RNA", at positions 26 to 403 of the family's 1533-position model. The record is from RNAcentral.